CCUACGGGGGGCAGCAGUGGGGAAUAUUGGACAAUGGGCGAAAGCCUGAUCCAGCCAUGCCGCGUGUGUGAAGAAGGCCUUCGGGUUGUAAAGCACUUUCAGUGGGGAAGAAAGCCUUGGGGCUAAUACCCUCGAGGAAGGACAUCACCCACAGAAGAAGCACCGGCUAACUCCGGGCCAGCAGCCGCGGUAAUACGGAGGGUGCGAGCGUUAAUCGGAAUUACUGGGCGUAAAGCGCGCGUAGGCGGUCUGAUAAGCCGGUUGUGAAAGCCCCGGGCUCAACCUGGGAACGGCAUCCGGAACUGUCAGGCUAGAGUGCAGGAGAGGAAGGUAGAAUUCCCGGUGUAGCGGUGAAAUGCGUAGAGAUCGGGAGGAAUACCAGUGGCGAAGGCGGCCUUCUGGACUGACACUGACGCUGAGGUGCGAAAGCGUGGGUAGCAAACAGGAUUAGAUACCCGAGUAGUC
RNAcentral lists this ribosomal RNA (465 nucleotides) under Vreelandella stevensii. RNAcentral describes it as "partial 16S ribosomal RNA". It matches the Rfam family "Bacterial small subunit ribosomal RNA", at positions 338 to 795 of the family's 1533-position model. The record is from RNAcentral. Lineage: Bacteria; Pseudomonadati; Pseudomonadota; Gammaproteobacteria; Oceanospirillales; Halomonadaceae.